GAUGAACGCUGGCGGCGUGCUUAACACAUGCAAGUCGAACGGUGAAGCAGAGCUUGCUCUGUGGAUCAGUGGCGAACGGGUGAGUAACACGUGAGCAACCUGCCCCUGACUCGGGGCUAAGCGCUGGAAACGGCGGGUAAUACUGGUUUUGAGCUGGGUCCGCAUGGUCAGCAGUUGCAAAGGUUGUUCGGUCUGGGAUGGGCUCACGGCCUAUCAGCUUGUUGGUGCGGCAAGGGCUCAGCAAGGCGGCGACGGGUAGCCGGCCCGGGAGGGUGACCGGCGACACUGGCACUGAGACACGGCCCGGACGCCGACGGGAGGAAUCAGUGAUGAAUAGUGCACAGUGGCCGAAAGGCUGAUGCAGCAACGCCGCGUGAGGGAUGACGGCCUUCGGGUUGUAAACCUCUUUUAGCAGGGAAGAAGCGAAAGUGACGGUACCGGCAGAAAAAGCGCCGGCUAACUACGUG
This 467-nucleotide ribosomal RNA is filed under the name uncultured bacterium. Its description in RNAcentral is "partial 16S ribosomal RNA". It matches the Rfam family "Bacterial small subunit ribosomal RNA", at positions 28 to 507 of the family's 1533-position model. The record is from RNAcentral.